This is a transfer RNA of Acetobacterium woodii DSM 1030, 73 nucleotides long. It matches the Rfam family "tRNA". Rfam says of the family: Transfer RNA (tRNA) molecules are approximately 80 nucleotides in length. Their secondary structure includes four short double-helical elements and three loops (D, anti-codon, and T loops). Lineage: Bacteria; Bacillati; Bacillota; Clostridia; Eubacteriales; Eubacteriaceae. The record is from Rfam.
GGGGGUGUAGCUCAGUUGGGAGAGCACCUGCCUUGCAAGCAGGGGGUCAGGAGUUCAAGUCUCCUCAUCUCCA